This is a long non-coding RNA of Branchiostoma belcheri (Belcher's lancelet), 224 nucleotides long. RefSeq lists it as uncharacterized. The record is from RefSeq and is a predicted model, not a curated record. Lineage: Eukaryota; Metazoa; Chordata; Leptocardii; Amphioxiformes; Branchiostomatidae. The transcript has 3 exons.
CAAGCUUAAGGUGCGCAAAGAUGGCUGUACUUGGACGUUCACUUCGUCGCUUCACCACCUUGGUUCUUUUUCUCUGCCUUUUCACGGGCAGUACAUCCUGGAGGAGGAGGCGCGGGGGGUGUACCUGUUCUUGGAACAGUUGGGGGCCGUGGAGCUCGUGUUCCGAGCCAUGUGGAAAUGCAGGCACGAGGACCCGGACCCGCGGCGGCUCGUGCUGUGGUACU